Molecule: ribosomal RNA, 471 nt
Filed under: Burkholderia multivorans
Lineage: Bacteria; Pseudomonadati; Pseudomonadota; Betaproteobacteria; Burkholderiales; Burkholderiaceae
Description: bacterial SSU rRNA
Rfam family: Bacterial small subunit ribosomal RNA
Source: RNAcentral
UGGCUCAGAUUGAACGCUGGCGGCAUGCCUUACACAUGCAAGUCGAACGGCAGCACGGGUGCUUGCACCUGGUGGCGAGUGGCGAACGGGUGAGUAAUACAUCGGAACAUGUCCUGUAGUGGGGGAUAGCCCGGCGAAAGCCGGAUUAAUACCGCAUACGAUCUACGGAUGAAAGCGGGGGACCUUCGGGCCUCGCGCUAUAGGGUUGGCCGAUGGCUGAUUAGCUAGUUGGUGGGGUAAAGGCCUACCAAGGCGACGAUCAGUAGCUGGUCUGAGAGGACGACCAGCCACACUGGGACUGAGACACGGCCCAGACUCCUACGGGAGGCAGCAGUGGGGAAUUUUGGACAAUGGGCGAAAGCCUGAUCCAGCAAUGCCGCGUGUGUGAAGAAGGCCUUCGGGUUGUAAAGCACUUUUGUCCGGAAAGAAAUCCCUGGCUCUAAUACAGUCGGGGGAUGACGGUACCGGAAG